This 352-nucleotide transfer-messenger RNA is filed under the name bacterium. It matches the Rfam family "transfer-messenger RNA". From Rfam's summary of the family: Bacterial tmRNA, also known as 10Sa RNA or SsrA, is named for its dual tRNA and mRNA-like properties. Its role is to liberate the mRNA from a stalled ribosome. The record is from RNAcentral.
GGGGGUGAACUGGAUUCGACGGCGAUGACCGAUGUGUCGGAAGCGAGCCGAGAUCACCGGAGUCUCGUAAAACACCGGUACCCAACUAUAAGUGCCAAGCCUAACCUUGCACUGGCUGCCUAAGUAAGACAGCCCGUCCGCCCGAGGGGUCCUGCUACCUCGGUCCGGGCGUCGUUCAGCAGGAUGGAUCCCCGGGGUUCCCGGACCGGCGGAUCGAGAUCAAUUCGGGAUUAGGGGGGCCGGUCGCUUGCCGACGGAGUCCGGCCUUCUGAAGCUUUCCCGUUGGCUGCGCUCGGAGAAGCCGCCACAAACGUAUCGACGGACCGGGGUUCGAUUCCCCGCACCUCCACCC